GGCGCCAAGGGGAAGGGC
This 18-nucleotide unclassified non-coding RNA is filed under the name Chlamydomonas reinhardtii. RNAcentral's name for it is "small RNA Cre_1857". The record is from RNAcentral. Lineage: Eukaryota; Viridiplantae; Chlorophyta; Chlorophyceae; Chlamydomonadales; Chlamydomonadaceae.